This 27-nucleotide non-coding RNA is filed under the name Rattus norvegicus (Norway rat). The record is from RNAcentral. Lineage: Eukaryota; Metazoa; Chordata; Mammalia; Rodentia; Muridae.
UAGCCAGUCUAGGCCUCCUUGGCCCCC